RNAcentral lists this long non-coding RNA (668 nucleotides) under Pan troglodytes (chimpanzee). Its description in RNAcentral is "long non-coding RNA NONPTRT017744". The record is from RNAcentral. Lineage: Eukaryota; Metazoa; Chordata; Mammalia; Primates; Hominidae.
CCUCAGCAGCCCUCUGCUCCUUUUUGCCUAAUCAAGUUGCUUACAAUCCAAAACUUAAUUUGAAAUAAAAAGAAAUUUAACUGUAAGAACCACAAUUAAUCACUAGAAAAUAAAUUGGCUCUCUCUAUAAAAUCUUAACCUAAUCAGUAAGGAAUCUUGAAAGAAAGAGUAAAAUUAAGAAGGGACAGGCAAAAUGGCUCACGCCUGUAAUCCCAGUGUUUGGGAGGCUGAGGCAAGAGGAUUGCCAGUGAGCCAUGAUCAUGCCACUGCACUCCAGCUUGGGUAACAGGGCAAGACACUGUCUCAAAAAAAAAAAAAAAAAAAGAAGAAGAAGGUAACAGAUCCCAGUUUCCUUUACUAUUCACUUAUUAUUCAAUAAACAUUUAUUGGGGCCAGGCAUAAGGGCUCACACCUAUAAUCCCAGCACUUUUGGAGGCCAAGGUGAGAGGAUCACUUGAGGGCAGGAGUUUAGGACCAACCUGGGCAACAGACUACCAGCCUGGGUGACAGAGUGAGACUCCAUCUCAAAAAAGAAAGAGAGAGAGAGAGAGAGACAGAAGAGGAGAGGAACCUACAGAUUUUUUAUUCUGGUGACUCCUUAUGGAUGCUACCCAAAGAGCUGCUAUAAUUUAGAAAGAGAUUCCAUGAUCACCUUUAUAACUUCAAAA